GAAAUGCGAUAAGUAAUGUGAAUUGCAGAAUUCAGUGAAUCAUCGAAUCUUUGAACGCACAUUGCGCCCGCCAGUAUUCUGGCGGGCAUGCCUGUUCGAGCGUCAUUACAACCCUCAGGCCCCCGGGCCUGGCGUUGGGGAUCGGCGGAAGCCCCCUGCGGGCACAACGCCGUCCCCCAAAUACAGUGGCGGUCCCGCCGCAGCUUCCAUUGCGUAGUAGCUAACACCUCGCAACUGGAGAGCGGCGCGGCCACGCCGUAAAACACCCAACUUCUGAAUGUUGACCUCGAAUCAGGUAGGAAUACCCGCUGAACUUUAGC
RNAcentral lists this unclassified non-coding RNA (320 nucleotides) under plant metagenome. RNAcentral's name for it is "partial contains 5.8S ribosomal RNA, internal transcribed spacer 2, and large subunit ribosomal RNA". The stretch from base 1 to 105 matches the Rfam family "5.8S ribosomal RNA", at positions 50 to 154 of the family's 154-position model. The record is from RNAcentral.